GUAAAACACAGCAGAGCCUUUUCCGAACUCCUUUUCUAGUUCCGCUGCGGAGUUUUGACCGUUUGAAGUUGUCUAAAUUUGGAUUUCGUGGUGGACAUUUAUCCUCGACGAUCUUGGCGCAAUGAUUCUCAGUGGCUACAGGACAAGUCUGAUGGUCAAAAGCAAAAAGGAAAAUCAGUUUCAAAAUGGAACCAGUCGGGAAAUGCAACAGAACAGGUUGUUCUCGUAAACACGGUUCUGGCUCCACUAACCACGUGCUGCCAUUACUUGCCCAGGCCAUUGCAUGAGUCAAGGCAAUGCCCACUCUGGAUUUAUCGCUUGAAAAAUAAAAUUGAACGUUUACUCGUCUACUGUAUCUUUAACAAAUAAUAUCAACUGGCAUUGCUAUUCACAUACUCGGACGGAUAACAGAGUUCUUUAUUUAUUUCUAAAUUUUUGAAUUCCUCUGGAGGGAAUUCGGGCAAUCCUAUAUUUGCGAAGCUCUUAUUCGACAUGCAUAAUGUCACUAAUCUCACUCCAGUUUUCUUUACAGGAUAUUCCUUCUGCAAUAUAAAACACACAUGGUAACAUCUUUCAAUUAAAUUUUCUGUUCGUUAAAAAAAAGAAGACAAUUCUCAUGAAUAACUGCGAGAGAACGCAUCGUUUCCACGACGGGUUCGUGGCCACAAUAUACAGGUUCAGGAGCCUCUGGGAAUCCGACCAGACCCAAAAUACUUGCACAGCUGACGAUAAUACCACCUCGACCACCGUUUUCUUUUCCAAUGUGUUUUACGCCCGUGUGAACCACUGUCAUGGUAUUAUUCUAUAAACAGGACACAGUUGCUGAGUUAUCACACGAUAUUUGAGGAUGCGACUUGACUGGUAUCGUAUCAAAAUCGCUCAAGAGGAUAUCAACGGCUUUGUAUUUACAUAAUGUGUCGCAGAAGAUACCUGAAUGAAAAACC
Molecule: long non-coding RNA, 944 nt
Organism: Cephus cinctus (wheat stem sawfly)
Lineage: Eukaryota; Metazoa; Arthropoda; Insecta; Hymenoptera; Cephidae
Exons: 4
Source: RefSeq, a predicted model, not a curated record